CCAGAGAAGAUUUCAUCAUCGGAUGCAAAAACAGAUCCAGAACAUAAUGUUAUUUACAUGAUUACCAUAGGGAAAGCCAUAUUUUGUCCAUCUCAAAAAGCAAUCAAUUUUAUCUUCAGCUUCUGUUAUUAAUUCUUAUGACGAAAAUGACAUCCGUCAUUCCAAACCUCUGCUAGUUCAGAUGGAUUGCAAUUAUAAUGGAUAUGUUGCGGGUAUUCCAAAUUCUCUUGUGACUCUCAGCGUAUGUUCAGGACUCAGGGGAACAAUGCAGCUGAAAAACAUCUCAUAUGGAAUUGAACCGAUGGAGGCUGUAUCAGGAUUUAUACACAAGAUUUAUGAAGAAAAAUAUGCUGACACUAAUAUUCUCUUAGAAGAAAAUGACACUUAUACUUGGUUUAAUUCAGAGUAUCAAGUCAGAAAAAGUUCAGAAGAGUGUCAGCAGCUAUAGUGAAGUUUCAAGAAGGGGGAAUGCUGUCGGGACUGAGCAGGCAAUGGCCUAAAAACAAUAAAAAGCCCUACU
Long non-coding RNA from Homo sapiens (human), 520 nucleotides. The record is from Ensembl. Lineage: Eukaryota; Metazoa; Chordata; Mammalia; Primates; Hominidae.